GACGAACGCUGGCGGUAUGCUUAACACAUGCAAGUCGAACGAGAAGUCUUUUAUUGAACCUUCGGGGGAUAUAAGAGACAGACAGUGGCGAACGGGUGAGUAACGCGUGGGCAACCUACCUAUCGGAGCGGGAUAGCCUCGAGAAAUCGGGAGUAAAACCGCAUAACACGGAUAUAUCGCAUGAUGAAUCCGUCAAAACUCCGGUGCCGAUAGAUGGGCCCGCGUCUGAUUAGCUAGUUGGUAAGGUAAGGGCUUACCAAGGCAACGAUCAGUAGCCGGUCUGAGAGGGCGAACGGCCACACUGGAACUGAGACACGGUCCAGACUCCUACGGGAGGCAGCAGUGGGGAAUAUUGCGCAAUGGGGGCAACCCUGACGCAGCAAUACCGCGUGAGUGAAGAAGGUUUUCGGAUCGUAAAGCUCUGUUAUUGGGGAAAGAAAGCAGUGACGGUACCC
Molecule: ribosomal RNA, 455 nt
Filed under: Pseudoramibacter alactolyticus
Lineage: Bacteria; Bacillati; Bacillota; Clostridia; Eubacteriales; Eubacteriaceae
Description: bacterial SSU rRNA
Rfam family: Bacterial small subunit ribosomal RNA
Source: RNAcentral